CCUACGGGAGGCAGCAGUGGGGGAUAUUGCACAAUGGGGGGAACCCUGAUGCAGCGACGCCGCGUGGGUGAUGAAGCGCCUCGGCACGUUAAGCCCUGUCUGCAGGGGAGUAAAUGACGGUACCUGAAGCAGAAGCCACGUCUAACUUCGUGCCAGCAGCCGCGGUAAUACGUAGGGGGCAAGCGUAAUCCGGAUUUACUGGGUGUAAAGGGGGCGCAGACGGCGAUGCAAGCCAGGAGUGAAAGCCCGGGGCCCAACCACGGGACUGCUCUUGGAACUGCGUGGCUGGAGUGUAGGAGGGGCAGGCGGAAUUCGUGGUGUAGCGGUGAAAUGCGUAGAUAUCAGGAGGAACACCGGUGGCGAAGGCGGCCUGCUGGGCUACAACUGACGUUGAGGCACGAAAGCGUGGGGAGCAAACAGGAUUAGAUAUCCCGGUAGUC
This 440-nucleotide ribosomal RNA is filed under the name uncultured bacterium. RNAcentral's name for it is "partial 16S ribosomal RNA". It matches the Rfam family "Bacterial small subunit ribosomal RNA", at positions 338 to 795 of the family's 1533-position model. The record is from RNAcentral.